CACUGGUUGGGUUUUGAACAACAAAAAAAGGACCAGACAUCAGGUUUCUUCCACUAACCCUAAGCCUCACCAACUCAACUCUCCAUUUACAAAGAUUAUACAAUUACCUCAGUGGAAGGCCCUUUUACUGUUUCUGAUUGGAGAAAAAUUAAAUUUUUACUGUUUCUGAUUAGAGAAAAUUAAAUAUUUACUGUGCAUUAUUUUCACCUUACUAAACACUGACACCAACAGAGACUUCACCUAACCCUACUGAUUCUAGCUCUCCC
Molecule: long non-coding RNA, 266 nt
Filed under: Prunus persica (peach)
Lineage: Eukaryota; Viridiplantae; Streptophyta; Magnoliopsida; Rosales; Rosaceae
Description: long non-coding RNA (PPER_LNC008425)
Source: RNAcentral